Molecule: ribosomal RNA, 440 nt
Filed under: uncultured bacterium
Lineage: Bacteria
Description: partial 16S ribosomal RNA
Rfam family: Bacterial small subunit ribosomal RNA
Source: RNAcentral
CCUACGGCAGGCAGCAGUGGGGAAUAUUGCACAAUGGGGGAAACUCUGAUGCAGCGACGCCGCGUGAGUGAAGAAGUAAUUCGGUAUGUAAAGCUCUAUCAGCAGGGAAGAAAAUGACGGUACCUGCGUAAGAAGCAGCGGCUAACUACGUGCAAGCAGCCGCGGUAAUACGUAGGGGGCAAGCGUUAUCCGGAUUUACUGGGUGAAAGGGGAGGGUAGACGGCGGUGCAGGUAGGGAGUAAAAGGCGGGGGCUCAACCCACGGACUGCUUCGGAAACUGUUCGGCUGGAGUGCAGGAGAGGAAAGUGGAAUUCCUAGUGUAGCGGUGGAAUGCGUAGAUAUUAGGAGGAACACCAGUGGCGAAGGCGACUUACUGGACUGUAACUGACGUUGAGGCACGAAAGUGUGGGGAGCAAACAGGAUUAGAUACCCUUGUAGUC